This 908-nucleotide ribosomal RNA is filed under the name Diprion cf. pini Sus35. RNAcentral describes it as "SSU rRNA". It matches the Rfam family "Eukaryotic small subunit ribosomal RNA", at positions 594 to 1440 of the family's 1831-position model. Lineage: Eukaryota; Metazoa; Arthropoda; Insecta; Hymenoptera; Diprionidae. The record is from RNAcentral.
AUAGCGUAUAUUAAAGUUGUUGCGGUUAAAAAGCUCGUAGUUGAAUCUGUGUCCCACGCUGUCGGUUCACCGCUCGCGGUGUCUAACUGGCAUGAUUGUGGGACGUCCUACCGGUGGGCUUAGCCCUCCGGGGCGGCCCAACUAAUAUCCCAUCGCGGUGCUCUUCACUGAGUGUCGAGGUGGGCCGGUACGUUUACUUUGAACAAAUUAGAGUGCUUAAAGCAGGCUAUUUUCGCCUGAAUACUGUGUGCAUGGAAUAAUGGAAUAGGACCUCGGUUCUAUUUUGUUGGUUUUCGGAACCCCGAGGUAAUGAUUAAUAGGGACAGAUGGGGGCAUUCGUAUUGCGACGUUAGAGGUGAAAUUCUUGGAUCGUCGCAAGACGGACAGAAGCGAAAGCAUUUGCCAAAAAUGUUUUCUUUAAUCAAGAACGAAAGUUAGAGGUUCGAAGGCGAUCAGAUACCGCCCUAGUUCUAACCAUAAACGAUGCCAGCUAGCGAUCCGCCGAAGUUCCUCCGAUGACUCGGCGGGCAGCUUCCGGGAAACCAAAGCUUUUGGGUUCCGGGGGAAGUAUGGUUGCAAAGCUGAAACUUAAAGGAAUUGACGGAAGGGCACCACCAGGAGUGGAGCCUGCGGCUUAAUUUGACUCAACACGGGAAACCUCACCAGGCCCGGACACCGGAAGGAUUGACAGAUUGAGAGCUCUUUCUUGAUUCGGUGGGUGGUGGUGCAUGGCCGUUCUUAGUUGGUGGAGCGAUUUGUCUGGUUAAUUCCGAUAACGAACGAGACUCUAGCCUGCUAAAUAGGCGUACUUUCCGGUAUCUCGAAGGCCCCCGGCUUCGGUCGGGCGGUUUUUACUACCGGCGUACAAAUAAAUCUUCUUAGAGGGACAGGCGGCUUCUAGCCGCACG